Molecule: long non-coding RNA, 572 nt
Organism: Sapajus apella (tufted capuchin)
Lineage: Eukaryota; Metazoa; Chordata; Mammalia; Primates; Cebidae
Exons: 2
Source: RefSeq, a predicted model, not a curated record
AAGAGACGACUUAAUUUAUGGGUCUAGAAAAUAAACAUGUAAAUACUUGCUUGUUAAUAAUUUUUUCUACCUUAAUUUUUACCUUUAAUAUUUCAGGAUAAUAUUGGACUUAAUUCUCUGGGACACACAAACAUCCUGCAUACGUAUACUGACAACAGACAUUUUAUAUGUAAGUGAACUAUAUGGGUGAGCCUCUGCUUUCUCCCUGUUAGCACUGUUCUUUAAGAAGUUAAGGCUAACCAGGUCUAUAGGUUUUAAUGGGAGAUGUCUUCUAAGUUUUCAAAGACCAGAUGUUCUUGUUAUACUGAUAAAAACUUACUUUAAAAAAAAGGAAUUGAUGAUGUUCAACGUUAUUCACUUUGAACAAAUAUGUCAUUUGUUCAUACUUGGUUUCUCAGUAUUUCAAUACUAACGCAUGUUUUAAUGAUUGGUCUUUAGAGGGGUGAGCACUCCCCUGGAGAUAUAUCACAAUUGGGAAAAAAUAGUUUGAAAAUACAUUAUUUGCCCUUAAAAAAGGAAAUUAACUCCAUGGUGCCUUAAGGUUACAUUUGCAAUCAACUUUUUUACUUCUU